GAGGGUAUAGCCCAGUGGUAGAGUGCAUGCUUAGCACACACCAGGUCCUGGGUUCAAUUCCCAGUACCUCCA
This is a transfer RNA of Camelus ferus (Wild Bactrian camel), 72 nucleotides long. It matches the Rfam family "tRNA". From Rfam's summary of the family: Transfer RNA (tRNA) molecules are approximately 80 nucleotides in length. Their secondary structure includes four short double-helical elements and three loops (D, anti-codon, and T loops). The record is from Rfam. Lineage: Eukaryota; Metazoa; Chordata; Mammalia; Artiodactyla; Camelidae.